CUUUGCUUUUUUAAUUUUUUGUUUUUGUUUAUUCUAUUUCAUUUAGAUUAUUAUUACCCACUUUCCCCUUCUUUAAAGUUUUAGACAUUUCGGGUAUUUAGUGUAUUCAUUAAAAUGGCAGAUCUUGUCAACAGUUGAUGCCGCUGAGGAAAAAUAAGUCGUGUAACGUCUACAUGAAGAACAUUAUUAAAAUAUGAGGAAGUAAGUAGCGUAUAAUUGAUGUGAAAUUUUAAUUGACAGGUCCGAAAUCUUCCAUAUUAGUCUGAAUUUCGCUGCUGUCAUAGGCGAGAAACGACUCGUGACCUGGACCGGUAAAUGUCCUAGUAAAAAUAAACAAGUGAAAUCGAGAGAAUGAUGACGUAUAUCUUUGUUAUUUUAAGAACCAGUGACUUGAAAUUUGGCAUGCAAGUAGUUAAAACAUUAAUCUAUGCAAGGAAAACAACAAAUUACGCAUAGCUUACCUAGUUUAAGAUUUUUUAGACAUUUGAAGCGAGUGGUUAGUUUUUUAUCUGUGUCAGAGUUAGACCCCUUUCUAUAUUUAUGGUAUCACAGAGUUCGGGCCCAAAACGGGCUUAGCCCCUGUGAGUUGAACUGGACAUAAUAAUAUAUUGUCUCCUAUAUUUUAAGAAUUAUUUGCUUGAUUGACACAUACCAAACUUGGUACACUGGUACAGCAUAAGGAGUAGAUGACCCCUAUUGAAUUUUAGGUCACAUGGUCAAUUCACUCUUGAUAUAGGAAGAUAUUGUCUGCUCAAUAUUUUGAAUUGAUGAUAAUACUAUCAAUUAAAUGAGGUGUGUGUAUAACCCUUUUCAAUUUUGCACCAUGGGGGGCAUAUGUGUUUUACAAACAUCUCUUGUUAUAUCAAAUAUUGAAAGGAAAAGAUUUCAUAGCCCCGGCCAAUCUCUAAACAGGAUAAGUGGGAAACUUUACUAGAUGAACCCAUUUCAAGAAAAGGCUGGAAAUUUUAUUUUGUAAAUGCAUACCUGUGACAGAACUGUCAUGCCACAACUGGAGAUUUGAAAAUUUUCAGCUGGAGUUUUGGUCUGAUAACUGGAGAUUUUUUAUCGACAUUUUUUUACCGUUUUUGUGUGUUCAUUGGCUAAUGAAAUCAUGCUACUAGUAGUUUUUUUUUUUGUGUUACAAGUGUCUGAGUUCAUAAUCAUCAGAUCCUUUUUGUGUUGAGAACAUUGAUAAAUCCUUUUUUGUGUUAAGAACAUUGAUAAUUCUUAAGUCAAUACCUUAAAAACCACAAUUAAAUGAAAAAACUUGUUAUAUUUAUAUAUUUAUUACAGAGAUAACAAGUUAUAACAAUUAUCACACUAAAAUAUUUGUAUAAUCAAUACAUUACCAAUGGCUACGAAGUCUUCCAGAAUGCUUAAUUCAGAAUUACAAGCAAAGUAGCCCGUACCAAACAUCCUAACAAAUGCUCAUGAGCAGCUCAUGAGAAGCACAUAAAAAUCUGGUAAGAAUCGUAUGCAAAUUAGUUAGCAUUUAAUUUUGCUCAUGUGCAGAUUGUUAGUCUCUGUUAGGGAGGAAAAUACUAACCAAAAUGCACAUGUGCAAAAUUUUGCUCACCUGAAUGCUCAUGAGCAAAAGUCGAUUCAAAUUGCUCACAUAAGCAACUGGCUACAUCGAUGUUGGAUUAAUUUUUCUAAGUUUAACUUUCUCACGUGAGCAAGAGGUUAGGAAAUUGGACUUAGUCAAAAAAUGAGAGUGGUAAAAAUUCACCUUUAUAUCGUAUAAUUUACAUAUCAGGAUUUUAUCCAGGUACGUUAUUCUGGUUUGUGGAAUGCUAAUUUAUACUAAGUUAGAAUAAUCUAAGCUGUAUACCAAAGUAGGUCUUCAUGGGGCUUUACGGCUCUAUGCAUGAUGUAAAUAGAGAUCGGGUUCAAUGCGUCGGGUGUGGGAUUCACACAAUAUAUGCUGAGCGCGAAAGUUGAUUGACAGGCGCCAUGAUGUUAUACCGGUAAACAACAUUUUGAACAUGAAUCGAGAACAGGAGUUGAAUCAGUUGAUGCAGAUAUUCUGAGGAGAAUCUUCCAGUCAUUGAAAUAUAUUUCAUGAUAGUCGUGCAGAUUCAGAAGUUGUGAUGGUGUGUUGAUAGGCUGUCUUCAACUUGCCAUAUCUGAGAGUUCCAACAUGCAGGCCUGGAUUAUUGUGUAUAAAUCACUAAUGAAGUUACUUAGUGUUAUUUAGUUUUUUAAAAAAAGAAUGACAUUUCAAUUUAUACACACUUGCCAAGUGAAUCUGAUGAGACUGCUACAUGUAUUUGGAAGAAUCAAUAAAAGAAAGUGUCAAUCUUGACCAGUUUUUCCAGCCUGGAGAUGGGAAGAUAAAACUUGUGGAGGGACAGUCGCUAUACAUUGAUUCAGCGAAGCUGGCAAUCCUGAAGAGGAAAUGCAAGAAAAAUGAAAGUAAAACUUUAAAAGCUUUGUUGGACUUUUACUUUACACCAAAGUACCUCGCAAUGCACUCUGCAACAGGAGAGAAAUCAGCAAAACCAGGCUUACCAGUGAAAGUUGUAAAUCCAAUUAGAGAUUACAUGCAACAAAGUUUCAAAGUGGAUGCCUCUACCUUAAAUGCAAUUAUCAACCGGAAGUGCUUGGAUGCAAAGAGAUCCAAAAAAUGUUGACGAUCAAUGUCUAUAUUGACUGUAAAAUCUCUUCAUAAAUACAGUAAAAAAUGUAGAGCUAAUGAAUAUGAUGUGUGUACAAAGAUAAGUAGGGAGUUAUUUUGUUGCACAUAAUAUAAUAUACUAGGUGUUAAAUGAUUGAUUUUAAGUAAAAAAGUGAAUAUCACUGUACAUUUAUGCAAAUAUUUACAUGCUGCUUAAGAUUAAUGGCAUUUAUUGUUUUAAAUUUAUAUUAUGCAACUACUUCUUUAUAUAGUGAUUCAUGUCAGUUUAUCAAUACUACGAGUAAAAUUUUGUGUAACUUUUCAUUUGAAUUAAUUGUGGUGUUUUCUUAACUUUAAACAAUAUGUACAGGAUAAUUAUGAAAGUUUGCAAUAAUGUCUAUAGUUUUUCCAUAUGCCAGUAAAUUUCAGUUUUGUGUUGUUUGGAAAUUUUAUUAUCUCAGAACUUUCCACAUGUUCCUAUUAAUAUAAUGUUCAAGAAUGUAUAGAAUUAUAUUUUUAUAAUGACAUAUGUAAUUAUGUAUAAAUGUAUAGAAUUAUAUUUUUAAAAUGAUAGAUGUAAAUAUAUACUGGUGUUGUAAUUUCAAUUUUUCUCCGUUGUCCUUGAAGUGAGAAACUGUGGCACAUGAGGCUCAUGAGCCUCAUGUGAGCAAAACUUUUGGUGAGCGAAAAUAUUCCUCACGUGAGCAAAAAAUCCUCAUGUGCAGAAUUUUGCUCACGUGAGCAUUUCACCUAAUUUGCAUGUUAAAUUGCACAUAAGACUCACGUGAGCAACUCACGUGAGGAAAUCUUGUUAGUCCUCACGUGAGCUUCUCAUGAGCAAAUUGUGAGAAUGUUUUGGUAUUGGAGAAUAAGCUGAACUGAUUUAUAAUAAAAACAGGAGAGUUGUUCUGAAUGAACAAGUGAAACACAGGGGAAAUUUUGCUAUUCUAUUCCUAGUUUGAAUUAAAAGGGUAAUAUGAAACUAGAAAACUGGAAUGAAAUUUAGUUAGCGUACCAAACAAUAACAAAUGUUCACUUUCGGUAAGUGCAACACACUUAUGGUAAACCAGAUGGAAUGAUUUUAUAAAACAAGUUGCAAAGUAACAACAGAAAAUGCAAGUCAGCUGAUCGAAAAUUCAAAGUAUAAAUAUAUUAAACUUUAAUGAAUAUCCCGGGAUAAAAAAAAAACAACUGAAAAAGAAUGGACGGGUAAAUAUACCGUCAAUAUACCUGUAUCUCAAAUGCUGAGGUGAAAUAAACAACAAAUACUUAUGAAAUAAAUGGAAUUAAACACGAAAUUGUGAGGUUUGUUUUGACCGGAAACACUUUCAGUUACACAAAUAUCGCGAAGCUCGAGCUCGAUCGAAAAUACGUAAUUAAAAAAAAUAGACGACUUUCGAUUGUUUCGGGGUUUUUCCUUAUCAAUAUCGAAAAAUAGCGCUCAGAAAAUUUUUGUUGUUGAAAAUUUGAAAUGACGGAAGAUUUUACAUUUUAACGGAAGGAACGGAAGGGGUGCUCAAAUUCGGGAGAUUUUGUCUUCCGACGGAAGAAUCACAGGUCUGUAAAUGCAUCUUUAUGUACAAAAGAGACAAAAAUAAUUUACUUUCAAUACCGAAUACUAAUGAAUUACAUUGCUACCAACUCCUUUCUUUACAAAAUUAAAAUUUCAGACAAUAAUUUGUGUACAUUUUGUAAUUGUGAAGCAGAAACAAUAAUUCACAUAUUCUAUGAUUGUGUAUAUGUCAACUUAUUUUGGAAUGAUUUUGAGCAAUGGUUCGAUGCAAUUGAAAAUUGUUGUAAAAUUACUUGGUAAUACAGAAGGAAGCUGUUUAGAAAAUUUUCUUUUAUUAGUAUCAAAAAAGUUCAUAUAAUAUUCCAGAUCACAAGGAAUCAUGAUCAGGCCAAAAUUUUCUGAGGCAGUAAAUUUAUUUAAGUACUACAGAAAAAUGGAAAAAUACUCUGAAAAUGUGUUUGGAUGCAAAUCCAAAAUAUUUAGUAAAUGGUCAAUAUAUGAUAUUGUUUAUAACAAGUGAUGAAAAACCAAAGCUUUAUAGGUUAUAUUUGUUAUCAUUACUUUUAGUAUCAUUUUGUUGAUAUGUAUAUUUUCAAUACCUUUAAAUUAUGCAUAGCUGUCAAAUACUAGUUCAUGUAGAAAGUUUUUGUAUGGAAGAUAUUGUAUGCAUGUGUAUGAUUUUGUGUGUGAGAUCAUCUAUGUAGAUGUAAUUGUAAAUGUCUAAAAAUAAAGCAUGAUAA
Molecule: long non-coding RNA, 4870 nt
Organism: Ostrea edulis (European flat oyster)
Lineage: Eukaryota; Metazoa; Mollusca; Bivalvia; Ostreida; Ostreidae
Exons: 4
Source: RefSeq, a predicted model, not a curated record